RNAcentral lists this ribosomal RNA (517 nucleotides) under uncultured microorganism. Its description in RNAcentral is "bacterial SSU rRNA". It matches the Rfam family "Bacterial small subunit ribosomal RNA", at positions 9 to 521 of the family's 1533-position model. The record is from RNAcentral.
GAGUUUGAUCCUGGCUCAGGAUGAACGCUGGCGGCGUGCUUAACACAUGCAAGUCGAACGAAGCGCCUUAUUUGAUUUUUCUUCGGAACUGAAGAUUUGGUGACUGAGUGGCGGACGGGUGAGUAACGCGUGGGUAACCUGCCCUGUACAGGGGGAUAACAAUCAGAAAUGACUGCUAAUACCGCAUAAGACCACAGCACCGCAUGGUGCAGGGGUAAAAACUCCGGUGGUACAGGAUGGACCCCGCGUCUGAUUAGCUGGUUGGUUGAGGUAACGGCUCACCAAGGCGACGAUCAGUAGCCGGCUUGAGAGAGUGAACGGCCACAUUGGGACUGAGACACGGCCCAAACUCCUACGGGAGGCAGCAGUGGGGAAUAUUGCACAAUGGGGGAAACCCUGAUGCAGCAACGCCGCGUGAGUGAAGAAGUAUUUCGGUAUGUAAAGCUCUAUCAGCAGGGAAGAAAGUGACGGUACCUGACUAAGAAGCCCCGGCUAACUACGUGCCAGCAGCCGCAGU